GUCUCACCGAGUUUCACACUGGAACAAUAUGAGCGCCUGCUGGAGUUGUUGAAGAAGGAUUCAGACGUUAACGCACAUGCACUCAGUGGUACAGGGAGAUCUUGAUGAAGAAGUUUACAUGACCAUACCUCAAGGUUUUAAAAAACAUGGAGAUAAUAUGGUAUGUAAGCUGAA
Long non-coding RNA from Neltuma alba, 174 nucleotides. RefSeq lists it as uncharacterized. The transcript is spliced from 2 exons. NCBI's taxonomy places the organism in Eukaryota, Viridiplantae, Streptophyta, Magnoliopsida, Fabales, Fabaceae. The record is from RefSeq and is a predicted model, not a curated record.